UAGGGAAUCUUCCACAAUGGACGCAAGUCUGAUGGAGCAACGCCGCGUGAGUGAAGAAGGGUUUCGGCUCGUAAAGCUCUGUUGUUAAAGAAGAACGUGGGUAAGAGUAACUGUUUACCCAGUGACGGUAUUUAACCAGAAAGCCACGGCCAACUACGUGCCAG
Molecule: ribosomal RNA, 164 nt
Filed under: uncultured bacterium
Lineage: Bacteria
Description: partial 16S rRNA
Rfam family: Bacterial small subunit ribosomal RNA
Source: RNAcentral